GAUGAACGCUAGCUACAGGCUUAACACAUGCAAGUCGAGGGGAAACGGCAUUGAGUGCUUGCACUCUUUGGACGUCGACCGGCGCACGGGUGAGUAACGCGUAUCCAACCUUCCCAUUACUGUGGGAUAACCUGCCGAAAGGCAGACUAAUACCGCAUAGUCUUCGAUGACGGCAUCAGAUUUGAAGUAAAGAUUUAUCGGUAAUGGAUGGGGAUGCGUCUGAUUAGCUUGUUGGCGGGGUAGCGGCCCACCAAGGCGACGAUCAGUAGGGGUUCUGAGAGGAAGGUCCCCCACAUUGGAACUGAGACACGGUCCAAACUCCUACGGGAGGCAGCAGUGAGGAAUAUUGGUCAAUGGACGGAAGUCUGAACCAGCCAAGUAGCGUGCAGGAUGACGGCCCUAUGGGUUGUAAACUGCUUUUGUAUGGGGAUAAAGUUAGGGACGUGUCCCUAUUUGCAGGUACCAUACGAAUAAGGACCGGCUAAUUCCGUGCCAGCAGCCGCGGUAAUACGGAAGGUCCAGGCGUUAUCCGGAUUUAUUGGGUUUAAAGGGAGCGUAGGCUGGAGAUUAAGUGUGUUGUGAAAUGUAGACGCUCAACGUCUGAAUUGCAGCGCAUACUGGUUUCCUUGAGUACGCACAACGUUGGCGGAAUUCGUCGUGUAGCGGUGAAAUGCUUAGAUAUGACGAAGAACUCCGAUUGCGAAGGCAGCUGACGGGAGCGCAACUGACGCUUAAGCUCGAAGGUGCGGGUAUCAAACAGG
Molecule: ribosomal RNA, 761 nt
Filed under: Prevotella melaninogenica
Lineage: Bacteria; Pseudomonadati; Bacteroidota; Bacteroidia; Bacteroidales; Prevotellaceae
Description: bacterial SSU rRNA
Rfam family: Bacterial small subunit ribosomal RNA
Source: RNAcentral